UACGGAGGGUGCAAGCGUUAAUCGGAAUUACUGGGCGUAAAGCGCGCGUAGGCGGUUACGUAAGUCGGAUGUGAAAGCCCCGGGCUUAACCUGGGAAUUGCAUUCGAUACUGCGUGACUAGAGUCUGGUAGAGGGUAGCGGAAUUCCAGGUGUAGCGGUGAAAUGCGUAGAUAUCUGGAGGAACAUCAGUGGCGAAGGUGGCUACCUGGACCAAGACUGACGCUGAGGUGCGAAAGCGUGGGGAGCAAACAGG
RNAcentral lists this ribosomal RNA (253 nucleotides) under uncultured bacterium. Its description in RNAcentral is "partial 16S ribosomal RNA". It matches the Rfam family "Bacterial small subunit ribosomal RNA", at positions 524 to 776 of the family's 1533-position model. The record is from RNAcentral.